CAGUCGCCACGGUAAUACGUAGGUCCCGAGCGUUGUCCGGAUUUAUUGGGCGUAAAGCGAGCGCAGGCGGUUAGAUAAGUCUGAAGUUAAAGGCUGUGGCUUAACCAUAGUACGCUUUGGAAACUGUUUAACUUGAGUGCAAGAGGGGAGAGUGGAAUUCCAUGUGUAGCGGUGAAAUGCGUAGAUAUAUGAAGGAACACCGGUGGCGAAAGCGGCUCUCUGGCUUGUAACUGACGCUGAGGCUCGAAAGCGUGGGGAGCAAACAGGAUUAGAUACCCCCGUAGUCCCUGUCUCUUAUACA
RNAcentral lists this ribosomal RNA (301 nucleotides) under uncultured bacterium. RNAcentral's name for it is "partial 16S ribosomal RNA". It matches the Rfam family "Bacterial small subunit ribosomal RNA", at positions 509 to 808 of the family's 1533-position model. The record is from RNAcentral.